RNAcentral lists this ribosomal RNA (97 nucleotides) under Acanthosepion pharaonis. The record is from RNAcentral. Lineage: Eukaryota; Metazoa; Mollusca; Cephalopoda; Sepiida; Sepiidae.
UUGAAACAUCAGUUCCUGUAUAAUCACUGAAGUUAGGCAACAUUGACCCUGGUCAGUACCUAGGUGGGUGACCACUUGGGAAUACCAGGUGCUGUAU